Cebus imitator (Panamanian white-faced capuchin) is the source of this 242-nucleotide long non-coding RNA. RefSeq lists it as uncharacterized. NCBI's taxonomy places the organism in Eukaryota, Metazoa, Chordata, Mammalia, Primates, Cebidae. The transcript is spliced from 3 exons. The record is from RefSeq and is a predicted model, not a curated record.
CGCGCCGCUGGCCCAGGUACAGCGUGAACACCGGCCCGAAGCGCUCGGCCAGCUGCGGAGACAGAGGCUGCAGUUUAUUAGCCACAUAAGCAAGUCACUGGCUGUGCUGCGCUUAACACUGCACCUCUCCUAAACCAAGAAGGGGCAUUGGCCUCUGGCAGAAGCUUCAGGGGCCUUUGCCUCCCUCCACUUUUUUCACCCCUCAAGGACCUUCCAGGACAAGGUUAGACAAUCAAGAAGAC